Non-coding RNA from Potamilus streckersoni, 78 nucleotides. The record is from the annotation of a GenBank genome assembly. NCBI's taxonomy places the organism in Eukaryota, Metazoa, Mollusca, Bivalvia, Unionida, Unionidae.
GACUGCUCUGAUGGCCUGAGUGGUUAAAGCAUCUGUCUCAAAUGCAGGAGGUCAUGGGUUCAAACCCCAGCCAUGUCU